CAAUAUAUCAAAUAAUAGCCGUCAUGACAAGAAACUAUGGAAGCAUGUACUAGGUUACUUGGUUUACAUGAACUGCAACUCUGCAAGUACUUCGGUAUGUAUAUUACACGAGAAAAUUUAACGUGCAACUUCUAAUUAUUUCAUAUGUAUCAACUAUCAUGCGCAGUUGGGUACGUAGCUCAUUCCAUCUUUUAGAUAGCUCACUGCUAGCUGUGGGGCAAAACCAUUUCAGCAUGUUUGGACCCAAUACCUGAUCAAAAGCAGAUUACUUAGCUACUAGAAGGA
This is a long non-coding RNA of Populus euphratica (Euphrates poplar), 285 nucleotides long. RefSeq lists it as uncharacterized. Lineage: Eukaryota; Viridiplantae; Streptophyta; Magnoliopsida; Malpighiales; Salicaceae. The transcript is spliced from 2 exons. The record is from RefSeq and is a predicted model, not a curated record.